Molecule: unclassified non-coding RNA, 1664 nt
Filed under: Leishmania donovani
Lineage: Eukaryota; Euglenozoa; Kinetoplastea; Trypanosomatida; Trypanosomatidae
Description: gene:LdHU3.24.1040(CDS-product:hypothetical_prote in_conserved)
Source: RNAcentral
CAAACAACGUCCAACAAGCGUACUCGUAACGCUUCUCCAGCACACAGCGAGACACGCGUACACACAAGCAUCGCCUCAGCUCGCCUAUUACCGGUAGGGGCCAGCCUCAGCAUGCGAGCUGCACCGACUCGCCUGGCUCCGAGCACGGCGGUGCCACUUUGCGGUUCUCACUGUCGAUCACGAGCUUACCAUUUUGCUGCAGCCGGCGCGGCUGGAUGGCGUCGGCGCCGCCGCUUGGCUGGUGUGUCUGUGACAACGACGCACACCGUCGCCCCCGCCGUCUCUGCCUUGCCAUUCUCACUCUCCACAGCCCGGCGCACAUACUACUGGCCAUACCCGGAGAACCUGGUGCCGGAAGGAGCGACCGCGUCUCCGUUCCAGUCCAGUCCUGUGCCGAGUGUGCGAGAGCGCAUCAUCCGGGAGUACGCGCUCGGACCGCUUUUCGGCAGUCGCACGCCGUGCUGUGUGCUCGGAUUCGCCGACACAGCCAGAGAUGUCGUAGCGUGCAAACGCGACGUGCGUCGGUGGGUUGCACGGGCACUGGGAAAGUCGGAGGCGGAUGUGGAGCUUGGCUCUCUCGUGCAAGCCAAAGAAAUGCUGCUCCACCGUAGCGGCACCGAUGAGUCGCCACGGCUUGGCGACGGGCCCGGGAGCCGGCCCGAUGCAGAGCGGCGUCGUGUGACGCGAUACGCACGCCUUCCUGUGCAAGCGCGCACGCUCUUGGAGGUGUACCUGCCAGGGGAAGAGCACGGCGAGGUCGACGCCGCGGCAGACGCGGACGCAGUCAUCCUCGCUCACGGCUACUUUCUACAGGAACAACUUCACCGGCACAUGACCACGACAGCGUCCUCUGGGACAGACCCCACCGUCCUGAGCGACAGCGAGGGCAGCCAGCGUGAAAAGCCGGUCCGCAAGCUGCAGUCGCACUGUCAGGGGUACAGCGAAAGAAAUGACGAGGCGGAUGUGGAGUCGAGCGUGGCUGCCCUGCACGAUGUGUGCGGCGUCAUCUACUGCGAGGUGCCGGUGCUAGAUGAGAGCGACUUCGUCUUCGACCAGCUGUGCGGCAAGGAGGUGGAUGAGGAGACGACGGAGCGGGUGACGGACCGCUGGACGCGGCGCGUGAUGCAACAGCAGGCGCAGUUGUAGGCUCCGUCAACAUUAGCUUGCAUGCUGACUCGCUUCGUCUGCGCUUGUGUAGGUAUAUAUAUAUGUUGUGUGUGUGUGUGUGUGUAUGUGGGUGGGUGUGGGUGUGGGAGAGUGAGAGUAUGUACGCGAAGAGAAGGCAUACGCGCACGCACACACACACACACACAGCUGGUUGUCUAAGCGGGCGGCUCAGCACAGAAACGUGAGGGUGACGCUCUUGAAUAGGGUCGGAUUGUGCGUUGCUGCACGUCAGGCAGCGGAGGAGUUGAAAAGCAGAGCCGCAGCUCGUCGUGCGGCAGAGCGCUCUGACGUGGAAGAAAAGCGGAAGGACGAGAAUCUUUGGGAGGGAGGGGGAGGGGGACAACGAAUGCAGUGAAGCUCCUCUUCCUGUCACAGCACCUACUCACACGGACAGCAGCUGAGGCGGAGGGGGGUGGCCCUAUGUGCUUCUCCACGUGCUCACACAUCUCGCAUCUCUCUCAAGUCCCCCAUCUCUCUUGCUUGCCCACUCGCUUUAG